Molecule: long non-coding RNA, 1521 nt
Filed under: Sus scrofa (pig)
Lineage: Eukaryota; Metazoa; Chordata; Mammalia; Artiodactyla; Suidae
Description: lncRNA (ENSSSCG00025048623.1, ENSSSCG00055002068.1, ENSSSCG00130034335.1)
Source: RNAcentral
UGGUUCUAAAAUCACUUGGAAGACUUGCUAGGCAUGCAAAUUUCUAGACCUUAUCCUGUACCUAUCAAAUUAUAUCUCUGGGUGUGAGGCGUGGGAAUCUGCAUUUUCCAAGCAAAUUAUUCACACUUUGAGAAACACUGCUUUGUUAUCGCCAAACUAGUUCCUUACAUCCAAAUGGUGCUUGUUUCUAGGCUAAAAUUUAUUAUUAUUUUGUCUUUUUAGGGCCACACCUGCAGCAUACAGAGGUUCUCAGGCUAGGUGUCUAAUUGGAGCUGUAGCUGCCAGCCUAGGCCACAGCCACAGCAAGGCCAGAUCUGAGUCUUGUCUGCGACCUAUACCACAGAUCACGGCCGCACUGGAUCCUUAACCCACUGAGCAAGGCCAGGAAUCGAACCCAUGUCCUCAUGGACACUAGUCAGGUUCGUUAACCACUGAGCCACUAUGGGAACUACCCCCCGCCCCCCGUGGCUUAUGGAAGUUCCUGGGCGAUGGAUAGAAUCUGAGCCACAGCUGUGACCUGUGCCACAGCUGCAAUAAUGCUGGGUUUUUAACCCCUGGGCCUGGCUGGGGUUAAAACCUCAGCCACUGCAGAGACAACGCCAGAUCCUUAACCUGCUGCAUCACAGCAGAAGCUUCUAAUGUAUGUAUUCUUUCAAACAAUCCAUGCCAGAUCCUGAACUAGGUGCUAGGGAUACAAAGAUGAGUAAAACUAGACAUGGUCUUCUUUCUGGUGGAGCUUAGGAUCUAGUGGAGGAUACAGGCAUUGACCAGGGACUCACAAAUAUAAAAUUAAAUGCAUAGCAUGGCGUGUAUGCUAUAACGGGAAAACUUGUGAUGUACUAAAAAUGUGUUAGAGGGACUUGACUUAGUAUAGGGAGUUAUGUACCCAGCGAAAGUGUCCUUUGAAAUAAGAUCUAAAAAAGAUAAGUGGAGUCAAUUAAGCUAAGUCAGAUAGGGAGCAGUAGAGGGGGUAAGAAAGGCAGAAUUUUCUGGACAAAGAAUAUGAUAUUGCAAAAGUCCUAUAAUGAGAGACUUAGGCAAGUGUUUUGGGGCAAGAGGAAGCAGAGUUUGAGAUGCAGCCUGGGAGGAAACAAGGGGCCAGCCCAUGAGAGUCUUUGAAAGUCGUGUUGGGAGUCCAUUUAUAUCUUAAGAACAAUGGGAUUUCAUUUUGAGUUGAAAUUAGAUAACAUGGUCAAUUUUACAUUUUGAAAAGGUCACUCUGGCUGCUGUGGAGAAAGAUUGAGGGCAGCAACCCUGGAAGUGUUGUCAUCCUUCUUAUUUUAUUGGUAAGGAAGUGAGCCUUGGAGUUCUUGUCAUGGCUCAGUGGAAACGAAUCUGACUAGCAUCCAUGAGGACGGAGAUUCCAUCCCUGGCCUCGCUCAGUGGGUUAAAGACCUGGCAUUGCUGUGAGCUGUGGUGUAGGUUGCAGGUGCAGUUUGGAUCUGAUGUGGCUGUGGCUGUGGCAAAGGCCGAUGGCUACAGCUCUAAUUCAACCCCUAGCCUGGGAACCUCCAUAUACCA